CCUACGGGUGGCAGCAGUGAGGAAUAUUGGUCAAUGGGCGCGAGCCUGAACCAGCAAAGCAGCGUGAAGGAUGACUGCCCUACGGGUGGUAAACUUCUUUUAUAAAGGAAUAAAGUUAGGCACGUGUGCCUUUUUGUAUGUACGUUAUGAAUAAAGAUCGGCUCAGUCCGUGCCAGCAGCCGAGGUAAUACGGAGGAUACGAGCGUUAUCCGGAUUUAUUGGGUUUAAAGGGAGCGGAGAUGGGUUGUUAAGUCAGUUGUGAAAGUUUGCGGCUCAACCGUAAAAUUGCAAUUGAUACUGGCAGUCUUGAGUACAGUUGAGGUAGGCGGAAUUCGUGGUGUAGCGGUGAAAUGCUUAGAUAUAACGAAGAACUCCGAUUGCGAAGGCAGCUUACUAAUCUGCCACUGACAUUGAUGCUCGAAAGUGUGGGUAUCAAACAGGAUUAGAUACCCCAGUAGUC
This 460-nucleotide ribosomal RNA is filed under the name uncultured bacterium. Its description in RNAcentral is "partial 16S ribosomal RNA". It matches the Rfam family "Bacterial small subunit ribosomal RNA", at positions 338 to 795 of the family's 1533-position model. The record is from RNAcentral.